Molecule: ribosomal RNA, 2904 nt
Filed under: Shigella boydii Sb227
Lineage: Bacteria; Pseudomonadati; Pseudomonadota; Gammaproteobacteria; Enterobacterales; Enterobacteriaceae
Description: bacterial LSU rRNA
Rfam family: Bacterial large subunit ribosomal RNA
Source: RNAcentral
GGUUAAGCGACUAAGCGUACACGGUGGAUGCCCUGGCAGUCAGAGGCGAUGAAGGACGUGCUAAUCUGCGAUAAGCGUCGGUAAGGUGAUAUGAACCGUUAUAACCGGCGAUUUCCGAAUGGGGAAACCCAGUGUGAUUCGUCACACUAUCAUUAACUGAAUCCAUAGGUUAAUGAGGCGAACCGGGGGAACUGAAACAUCUAAGUACCCCGAGGAAAAGAAAUCAACCGAGAUUCCCCCAGUAGCGGCGAGCGAACGGGGAGCAGCCCAGAGCCUGAAUCAGUGUGUGUGUUAGUGGAAGCGUCUGGAAAGGCGUGCGAUACAGGGUGACAGCCCCGUACACAAAAAUGCACAUACUGUGAGCUCGAUGAGUAGGGCGGGACACGUGGUAUCCUGUCUGAAUAUGGGGGGACCAUCCUCCAAGGCUAAAUACUCCUGACUGACCGAUAGUGAACCAGUACCGUGAGGGAAAGGCGAAAAGAACCCCGGCGAGGGGAGUGAAAAAGAACCUGAAACCGUGUACGUACAAGCAGUGGGAGCACGCUUAGGCGUGUGACUGCGUACCUUUUGUAUAAUGGGUCAGCGACUUAUAUUCUGUAGCAAGGUUAACCGAAUAGGGGAGCCGAAGGGAAACCGAGUCUUAACUGGGCGUUAAGUUGCAGGGUAUAGACCCGAAACCCGGUGAUCUAGCCAUGGGCAGGUUGAAGGUUGGGUAACACUAACUGGAGGACCGAACCGACUAAUGUUGAAAAAUUAGCGGAUGACUUGUGGCUGGGGGUGAAAGGCCAAUCAAACCGGGAGAUAGCUGGUUCUCCCCGAAAGCUAUUUAGGUAGCGCCUCGUGAAUUCAUCUCCGGGGGUAGAGCACUGUUUCGGCAAGGGGGUCAUCCCGACUUACCAACCCGAUGCAAACUGCGAAUACCGGAGAAUGUUAUCACGGGAGACACACGGCGGGUGCUAACGUCCGUCGUGAAGAGGGAAACAACCCAGACCGCCAGCUAAGGUCCCAAAGUCAUGGUUAAGUGGGAAACGAUGUGGGAAGGCCCAGACAGCCAGGAUGUUGGCUUAGAAGCAGCCAUCAUUUAAAGAAAGCGUAAUAGCUCACUGGUCGAGUCGGCCUGCGCGGAAGAUGUAACGGGGCUAAACCAUGCACCGAAGCUGCGGCAGCGACGCUUAUGCGUUGUUGGGUAGGGGAGCGUUCUGUAAGCCUGUGAAGGUGUGCUGUGAGGUAUGCUGGAGGUAUCAGAAGUGCGAAUGCUGACAUAAGUAACGAUAAAGCGGGUGAAAAGCCCGCUCGCCGGAAGACCAAGGGUUCCUGUCCAACGUUAAUCGGGGCAGGGUGAGUCGACCCCUAAGGCGAGGCCGAAAGGCGUAGUCGAUGGGAAACAGGUUAAUAUUCCUGUACUUGGUGUUACUGCGAAGGGGGGACGGAGAAGGCUAUGUUGGCCGGGCGACGGUUGUCCCGGUUUAAGCGUGUAGGCUGGUUUUCCAGGCAAAUCCGGAAAAUCAAGGCCGAGGCGUGAUGACGAGGCACUACGGUGCUGAAGCAACAAAUGCCCUGCUUCCAGGAAAAGCCUCUAAGCAUCAGGUAACAUCAAAUCGUACCCCAAACCGACACAGGUGGUCAGGUAGAGAAUACCAAGGCGCUUGAGAGAACUCGGGUGAAGGAACUAGGCAAAAUGGUGCCGUAACUUCGGGAGAAGGCACGCUGAUACGUAGGUGAAGCGACUUGCUCGUGGAGCUGAAAUCAGUCGAAGAUACCAGCUGGCUGCAACUGUUUAUUAAAAACACAGCACUGUGCAAACACGAAAGUGGACGUAUACGGUGUGACGCCUGCCCGGUGCCGGAAGGUUAAUUGAUGGGGUUAGCGCAAGCGAAGCUCUUGAUCGAAGCCCCGGUAAACGGCGGCCGUAACUAUAACGGUCCUAAGGUAGCGAAAUUCCUUGUCGGGUAAGUUCCGACCUGCACGAAUGGCGUAAUGAUGGCCAGGCUGUCUCCACCCGAGACUCAGUGAAAUUGAACUCGCUGUGAAGAUGCAGUGUACCCGCGGCAAGACGGAAAGACCCCGUGAACCUUUACUAUAGCUUGACACUGAACAUUGAGCCUUGAUGUGUAGGAUAGGUGGGAGGCUUUGAAGUGUGGACGCCAGUCUGCAUGGAGCCGACCUUGAAAUACCACCCUUUAAUGUUUGAUGUUCUAACGUGGACCCGUGAUCCGGGUUGCGGACAGUGUCUGGUGGGUAGUUUGACUGGGGCGGUCUCCUCCUAAAGAGUAACGGAGGAGCACGAAGGUUGGCUAAUCCUGGUCGGACAUCAGGAGGUUAGUGCAAUGGCAUAAGCCAGCUUGACUGCGAGCGUGACGGCGCGAGCAGGUGCGAAAGCAGGUCAUAGUGAUCCGGUGGUUCUGAAUGGAAGGGCCAUCGCUCAACGGAUAAAAGGUACUCCGGGGAUAACAGGCUGAUACCGCCCAAGAGUUCAUAUCGACGGCGGUGUUUGGCACCUCGAUGUCGGCUCAUCACAUCCUGGGGCUGAAGUAGGUCCCAAGGGUAUGGCUGUUCGCCAUUUAAAGUGGUACGCGAGCUGGGUUUAGAACGUCGUGAGACAGUUCGGUCCCUAUCUGCCGUGGGCGCUGGAGAACUGAGGGGGGCUGCUCCUAGUACGAGAGGACCGGAGUGGACGCAUCACUGGUGUUCGGGUUGUCAUGCCAAUGGCACUGCCCGGUAGCUAAAUGCGGAAGAGAUAAGUGCUGAAAGCAUCUAAGCACGAAACUUGCCCCGAGAUGAGUUCUCCCUGACUCCUUGAGAGUCCUGAAGGAACGUUGAAGACGACGACGUUGAUAGGCCGGGUGUGUAAGCGCAGCGAUGCGUUGAGCUAACCGGUACUAAUGAACCGUGAGGCUUAACCUU